Molecule: non-coding RNA, 649 nt
Organism: Coturnix japonica (Japanese quail)
Lineage: Eukaryota; Metazoa; Chordata; Aves; Galliformes; Phasianidae
Source: RefSeq, a predicted model, not a curated record
CGGGGUGGGAGUGGCGGAGGGACGGCAGGGAGAGACCCGGUAACGACAGCGGCCCCGUGUGGAGCGGAGCGGUAAUGUGUUAUAACAGCGGGUCUCAUUCACAGAGAAGGACGUCAGGGAAUCAAAGCAAAUGAAGGACUUGCCUUCCAUGUGCUGUGCUACCACAACAAAACACCCCCGAGCCUUGCAGCCACUUGGCAAAGCACGCGUGCAUUCCCUCGUGCUGUUGUCAGCCUCAGAAUUACACUGCGUGCUGCUGUACUUGUGGUUUUGGCACAUGAUGGAAGUUCAAUCAAAUGGAAAAGGGAGGGUCUCUGCAACUGCUGUGUUCAGAAGACAGGAAAUAAAAAACUGGAUAAAGAAGCCUGACUUUAUCAAUAUUUCACAAGGGAAAUGAUGCAACACAAGUUUACCCUCAUGAGAACUCAGCCAUUUCCUAUUGCUUUGUGUGUGAAUGACAUAUGGGAAAGGUUCUAAGUUUCUAAAGUUUCACUUCUGGCCUCAGAACCCCCCAUUUCAGUUUGGAUUGGUGACUGCAGACAACAUUGUAUUUUGGGACAGACUGAAGCACGGUCUACUUAUAACUGCUUACAUCUGAUUUGUGUGAUAUACACAGUUCCCAAUGUUGUAAAUGUUAGUGAUACCUUUG